Long non-coding RNA from Halichondria panicea, 359 nucleotides. RefSeq lists it as uncharacterized. Lineage: Eukaryota; Metazoa; Porifera; Demospongiae; Suberitida; Halichondriidae. The record is from RefSeq and is a predicted model, not a curated record. The transcript has 3 exons.
UCUAUAGUUACUAUAAUUUAUAUUAUAUAUAAAUUAUAUGCCGGAAACUUGUACAUGCUGAUGAUUUCGACAAGCUGGUGUGAGUUUAAAGUCUAAUCAAUGUGUUUCUGUUCCAAGCAAUGAAUUGUCUGAAACAACUUGGGAUCAGCAGGAGAUUGAUGGAAUGAUUGCUCGGUCACCCAGUACAACACUGUAAUCACAGACAGUAUUCAAUUGUUGUUCUACAAUGUUUUGGAGGAGGCUCAACUGGUCAAGUGUCCAUACCACAAUCAAACUUCUGUCCUGGGGGCACUGUCUACUGUGAGGAUGGAGAACCAGCCUCAGGCGCUACUUGUGUACUGAUUGAUAAUUUCUGUGAU